Molecule: long non-coding RNA, 16991 nt
Organism: Equus asinus (donkey)
Lineage: Eukaryota; Metazoa; Chordata; Mammalia; Perissodactyla; Equidae
Source: Ensembl
CUGAACCUGUUGCUGCAUUAGACGAGUUGCAUUUUGCUGGAUAGGGGAAGGAGGGCUGUCUGCUGUCUGGUAGGAGGGCUUUGUCUGUGCCUUUCUCUCUCUGUUUCUUUCUGUUUUUCUUUCUCUCUCUCUCUCCUCUUCUCUCUCUCUCCCACUCGCUUGCUCUGUCUCUGUCUCUCUCUCCCUCUCUGCCCCCCCUCUCCCUCCCUCUCUCUUGCUCUCUCUCUCUCUUCCCGUCUCUGUGGUUUGUAAGGUAGGUUGCAGUGUGUGUAUAUACACAACAUCAAGAGCAGGAAAAUGGACUCAUUAGGGAGGCAGGCAGUCAUUACCACUCACACUGUACUUCCAGGGAGACACCGAUUAUGAGAAGAGAAACUCAGCGCUGGGGAAGAAGGAAGAUUAGCCCAGAGCUAACAUCUGCCACCAAUCCUCCUCUUUUUGCUGAGGAAGACUGGCCCUGAGCUCACAUCUGUGCCCAUCUUCCUCUACCUUCUAUGUGAGACGCCUGCCGCAGCAUGGCUUGACAAGCGGUGCAUAGUCACACAAAAGAAGUGCUAAGAAUUGCCCUUUGAGACUCUGAAGGCUGAAGAGUCCCUGAUAAAUUGCAAGUCUGUCUGUGCCCCAUAGCUGCACAGACUGCCUGAAGUUACAUUUAGAGACUGAAAUCACUGCACCUUAAAAACAAAAGAUUGGGCUGCACUGCAUUCCUGUAAGUGAACGCUUCCUGCACCUUCCUCUGGAUUUUUUUGACCAACUCAUAAAAUGACAAAAACAUUGGUAACACGGAAACCAGACAUGAGUAAAAAUUUGAAUGUCCCUGAAGAAAUAUAUAUUUAAAUGAUUUCCUUCUUUAAAAAAAGAAAAUUUGUUGGGCUCAAUAUUCAGCAUGUCUUUUUUAUCCAACCUAAAUUGUGGAUCCUUUCUUUUGGCUGGUUUGAAUUGCUUUAGGGAGGGUGUCACCCACUGUGCCUCAGCACAGUGACAUACACCCUGUCAGGAAGGAUUCUUGCAUUUUUGUACAAGUCUCAUUGAAGGUAACAGAUUUCUUAGGGAAGCAAAGUAGAUUCCUUUUUCCUUUGUGAUGUCAUUAGAAAUUUUUAGCCUUUGUGUCAAUGGAAAUGGAGAAAAAGAAAGUUCAUGAUGACAUCACAAGAUUCUGUUGCCUUGAGGACUUUGGGCAAAACUAAGUAAAAUGCAUAAUUCCCUUGUGUGCGUGUGUUCCCCAUUCUGCUAUGAAGCAGUCAAAAUAGCACAUCUUAUGUCUUCCCGUGAGCUACAAGGCUGUCUCUCAGAGCCCCAUUGUUCCAUAAAUGCAUGUCAGAGUCUACCACAGUCUGGUCUACCCUUAUUUAGCUGCUGUUUUGUCAAUGUACUUGGAAGAACAAUUAACAUUUGGGAUUUCAAUGUCUGAAUAACAGGCAGUGAAUAGAACCCAAGCAUAUAAAAGAUUCAGACGCCCAGGGUAAGAAAACAGAAGCUUAUAGUUGGUAGGGGAAAAAAAGAAAAGCAUUUUAAUGCUGCACUCAAAGGUUGUGAAAUACUACAAGGAAAGUCAAUCUGUUUUUUUUUUUUUUAAUUUUAGAUCAAAAUGUACAUUUUGGUAAUGAAAUCCAGAAGGUUAUGAUGUCUUCCUAAGUUUUGCAGUUUAAUAUGUUGCAAGGUCUCUAGCAAGAGAGUCUUAAAACAUUUAAAUAACAUUCAUCUCCUUGAGUCAUUGUUGGAAUGCCGGAUGUGGGGAAUACUGCAUCGUGGUUUUCAGUGUCACAGUGCCUGUACAGCAAGGUACAUUGAAGGUGAUUCAGACAGUUUCCUGCAUUUUCCGGUUGGUUACUGCACUGUUUUACUAUUGACUAUAGUUCUUGAUGUUGACUGUAGACAGUCUUGAAGUUGUCUGAAUAUCUCUGCCUAUUGUCUUAAUUUCUGCUAGGUCCAUUUUUCUGGGAGAUGAUACAUGGACAGAGCAAGAUCUCCUCACUGACAGGGGAUCUGGUGAACUGGAGGGAACUUAGGCAGCUUAUGCGUGUUGCCCACUGAGCACAGUGCUUGGCUGGUAUGAGUGAAUAAUUGAUGAUUAUUGUUAUUUUUGUCAUAACUACAACAGUUCAAACCCAUAGACAGUAAGUUCUCUAAAAGCAGGGCCUAUUUCUUAUUCAUUUUUGUAAUCCCCAGUCCUUGGUGUAAUAGUAAUCAAGAAAUAGCUGUUGUUAUUAGUACAAUUACAAAAUUUCUUAAAAGUCAGAAUUUUAGGAUUCAUUUUGUCAGAAUAUUUUUGUGAAGAGGGGUUGAAUAGAGUUUUUAAUAGUCAGGAAGACAAUCAUAAAGGAAUUUGUCAAAGACAAACCUUCUGUUCAUCAUACCACAUUAGGUGUCAGUCCCCCAGUCUUUCUACUCUUUGACUUUCCACUUCUUUCUCCUGACCAAAAUGAGGAGUGCUCAUUCAUGUCAUAUCCUUUUCCUCUGUGAAAUGGUCUUCAAUAGUUUUCCAUUUAAGUCAUGGGUCUGACAUCCCAUACACUGGAGUUGUCUCCAAAGAUGAAUCUACCUGACUCCAGGAUAGAUGGUGCUCUGUACCUGUUUGUCUAAUUGCCAUGCAGUGGAUUACACUUCAGGGAAAUGGGGCAAAUGGUACAAUGGGUAUUGGGCCAAGAUGCCAGGGAUUUGGGAAAUUACCAUUAGAAACGUCUACUUUCAGUGCAUUAAAAGCCUGGCCAGUUUCUGAGCACUAAUAAGACCACAACAUUCUUUAGAACUCAGACCCAUUUGACUUCUUCUAAGUUUAGCUUCCUGGGUUUUUGUUUGUUUGUUUGCUUUUUGUUUUUUUGUCAUAAGGUUCUCUGCCCUCCCCUACCAAUUUUAAUUUAUUUCCAAAAGGAUUCCCUUCAUUUUUAUUAAAUCAGCUUCUGGUGAUGCAAAUUAAAGCUCUCAUAAAACUUGGCCUUUGAGGCAAAACUAAAAUGAUAAAAUUUGGGCUCAGUGAAUUGUACUGUUAUCAUGUUGAAUAACAUUUAAGGACAUCAAAGAACUUUAUAAACACAUUGCACAUUUUUAAGGUUAAAAAAUUGAGGUGAAAGGAAUUUAAGAGCAGAACAUCAAUAAACAUUAUAGUAGAAGGCAUGUAAGAAAUAAACGUCCAAUCAUCUCAUUUUGAAAUAAAUAAAUUGAGGCCCAGGGUAGGGCAUGCAGGUUAACCCAAACCAUACUGACCACCAACGCAGAUCAUCCUCAGACAUCUACUUGAGAGUAGACCUGAAUUUAGACUCUGGGGCUUCGACCUUUCCUCUCUACUCAGGGAACAAAUUGCCUUGCAUUCGUUUUAUGAGAUCCAUUGAACUGUCUUCCCCUCCACUGAGUAGUCCAAAAUUCAUAUAUAAGGAUAGUCUGAAAAAAUUUAUUGUUAUCAAAAAGUUUAUUUUUCAUUUUUCCUGUACAUUGAUAUCAUGCCUCUGGUUGUGCAAUGAGUCACAUAGAGGCAAAUUUAUUUGGUUGACUUAGUAUUCUUUAUGAUGAUUUACAAAGUGGACAGAAGACCAUUAGAAACUUCAAUAGUGGUUUAAUUGGGCUUACAGUCAUGAUGAAACCAGUAAUCUGAACAGAGCCAUUGUGACAUGAAAUUUAGACUUCCCAAGAGUGUGCAUCAUGCAUGGUGUCAGAAUGUCACUGUUGCCAGGGGUCAUUUCCGUCAAAGAAAAGUUUUUCAGGGUCUGAAAUAAAUGAAAUAAACUUUAAUAAUUUAAAAUGAAUUACUUGCCCUGGUAAUUUAUUUCAGGUUGCCUUUAUUGGAUUCUGUCACUUAGCAAUUCAGGUAGGAAAUUUUCUAUUUCACCCAGAGCUAAGUCUUGGCUACAUCUUAGUUUCUUCCUCAAAUUUAUUUUAUCCCCUCCAGACCUUCUCACCCCCCAGCAUGAAGAAGCUUAUGUCACUAUGCACUAAAAUUUAGUGGCCUAAGUAUUUGUGUCCCCAAUAAUGAGACGAUGUUCUGCCCUUAAAAAUUCCAUGGAAGCUUUGGCAUAUAGAGAAGAAGGGAGAAUGAAGAUGCCAGAGCAGGGCCUUAGAUGUAGACGCUCAACAAGAUUCUCUUCUCUUUCCUCUUUCCUCUACAAUAAUAAUUUAAAUUUUUUUCUAUGCUUCUUGUGAACAAAUCAUUUCACCAGGAUACAUAGGUAACACCUAUUUCCUAUCAACUAGUAGUUCAUAAUCUAUUUGGAUAAUAGAUACAUCUUUUGUUAUAGACAAAAUGUUAUAUGGGUACAGUAGAGGAAGUAAAUGUUUAUCAUUUCUUCUGAACCAUCAAGGAAUAAUAUGGAUAUUAACAAGCAGCCCAAGUAGAGGGAAUUAUAAAAAUGAAAGUUGAGGGAACAGUGAGUAGUAAUGGUGUGAUAUGAAUAUAGCAUGCUGGUUGGGGCCAGUGUUUUCCAAAGUGUGGGUUUCAACCUCUUUAUAGGUCAUGAAAUCAGUUUAGAGGAUCACAGUCAAUAUGCUUUUAAUGAAAUAGAACCAAAGGAAAAGAAUUAUAAAAAGAGUGUACUAUAUAUUUUUAAGAUAAUGAAUUGCAAAAUAAAUAUAUUUUUUACUGGGAAUCAUGCCACCAAAACACAAAAGCAGAUCUAAAGAUGAUAGGUCUUUUAAAUACUCAACUCAGAAUGACUCAUCAAAAGAGGAGAAAUAACAAGUAUUGGCAAGGGUGUGAAGAAAAAGGAACCCUGAUGCACUGUUGGGAAUGUAAAUUGGUGCAGCCACUAUGGAACACAAUUGAAGGCUCCUCAGAAAAUUAAAAAUCGAGCUACCAAUUGAUCCAGCAAUUCCACUACUGGGUAUCUAUCUGAAGAAAAUGAAAACACUAAUUCAAAAUGAUAUAUUCACCUCUAUCCUCAUUGCAGCAUUAUUUACAAUAGUCAAGAUAUGGAAACAACCUAAAUGUCCAUCCAUGGAUGAAUGGAAAAUAAGAUGUGGUAUAUAUAAAUAUACAAUGGAAUACUACUCAAUCAUAAAAAAGAAUAAAAUCUUUCCUUUUACUACAACAUUGAUAGACCUUGAGGGUGUUAUGCUAAGUGAAAUAAGUCAGAGAAAGACAAAUAUUGCAUGAUUUCACUUAUAUGUGGAAUCUAAAAAACGAAACAAAACCCAGAUUUACAGAUACGGAGAACAGAUUGGUGGUUGCCAGAGGGGAGAGAGGUUAGUGGGGAGGCAAAAAUGGGCGAAGGGGAUUAAGAAAUACAAACUUCAAGUUAUAAAAUAAAUAAGUCAGGGGAUGUAAUGUGCAGCAUGAGGAAUAUGGUCAAUAAUAUUGAGUUAACUUUGUAAGGUGAGAGACAGUAACGAGAUUUAUUGUCAUGACCAUUUCUCAAUGUAUACAAAUGUUGAAUCACUAUGUUGUACAACUGAAACUGAUAUAAUACUAUAUUACAAUUAUACCUCAAUAAACAUAAAUAAAUAAGUAAAUACUCAUCUCAUGUAAUCCUGACUAAGGGAUAAUAUUAUUUUCCCCCUUUUUAUAUGCUAGAAAGUGGAGGGAUUAAGCAGUUUGCUCCAGGUCAUACAACAGGUAAAUGGUAGAGAUAGGAUGUGAAUAUGUCUGUCAAACUCCACAUUCAUACUCUUCCCAUGAUUUGACUCUGUUUUCCAGGGUGGCAUGACUUCAAUUAUAUCCCUAUUGAUAAGUCAUACAUUUAUAUCUCUAGUCCUUAUAUCUCUCCCAAACUCUAGUUAUAUUUCCAAUGUCUUUAUUUAAAUCUUCAAUUAAAUAUAACACUAGUUUCUCCAAGUCAGUACAUCAAAAUUGGAUUUAUCCUUCUAGGUAAAAACCAUCCUCCUUUUGACCAUCCUAAUUUUCUUCACCCCAAUUCUCCAGGUCAUCUUGACUUAAAAUAUGUCAUUCUUGCUCUCCACCCCAGGUAUCCAAUAAGUGGCCAAGUCUUGUUAAUUCUUCUUUGGUACCUCUAUCCUAGUCAGGUUUUCAUCUUCUCUUGCCUGCAAUAAUCUCCUAAUUGGGAGAGAGAGGAGGAAGGGAGACCAGCUCAUCCUAAACUCUGUUGCCCGGUUAGGUCUCCUAAAGCAAGAGCCCUAAGAUCAUGUCACCUUUGUUCAGACAAAACUUUAAUAAUUCUAUAUUAAUUACCAAACAGUUCCUAACUAAUAUUCGUAACAUUCUAAAAUCUAAUUCUAACCCCAUUUCUGACUUAAUCUUAUGGUAUAAUAUACCAUACACUCGGGCCAAAUUUCUGCACCCACAUUUACUGUAUUGUUCCUGCCAUCUGGAAUGUCCAUCAUUCUGUUUUUCCGUAUGCAAAUCUAACCCGUCAUUCCAGGUCCACUUUAAAUGCUAAUAAUUCCCCAAGAAACCUUCCUCCCUGACCUGGUCAGAAAUAAUCCACUCUCUCCUACCUACCAAACUCACAGCACUUGUAGUGGCCCUGCCAACUAUUUGAUUUUGGAUUUCUAGCCUUCAAACCUGGGAGAGAAUAAAUUUCUGUUGUUUUAAGUCAACAAGUUUGUGGUAAUUUGUUACAGCAGCCUAAGAAACUAAUACAGCACUCAUCUACACUCUUUUUUGAGACAAGAAUUACUUUCUAUAUUUUUAAACAAUAUUUUUGUGCAUGCCUUAGUCUUAUACUAGAAAAUAAAUUAGAUAGAGUCCACAUUUAGUUAAAAUUUCUAAACCCUACAGAAUCUACCACAAUAGAAUCAUUAAUUCAUUAUUCAACCAUGCUUAACACUAGUAAUAUAGAAAUGAUCCUUUAGGCUCUCAUGGAACUUACAGUCUCCUAAGGGAAUCAGAUGUUAAAUAAACAAAUGAUUCUGAAUUGCACAUCGUAGUCCUUGAAAAAAGCAAACAGGUAUGCAAGACAACAAUGGGUGAGGGAAAUCUAUUAUACUGCCCUUUGGGUGCUCAAGAAAGAAUUCUCGUAAAAAAUGUCAUUUAAGUUAAGAGUUGGAGGAUGGAAGGAUGGGAAGAAUCAGCCAGGUGAUGAAUUUUGGGUGGAGAUGGAAGCAAGAGAGGGAGAGAAAACUCCAGACAGAAACAGCAAGGACAAAGCCUUGAGGCAAGGACAAACAUUGUAUAUUCAAGGAAAUAAACAGAUUCCAGAGUGGCUACAGCAAGCCAGCAAAGGAGGAGAAUGACUGGAAGUCAGGUCAGAGAAGUGGCCAGGGAAAGGAGUUUAGAUUUUGUUAUGAAUACAUUGAAAAAGCACAUAGUAGAUGCACAAAAAGUAAAUAAAUAAAUGUAUGUAUUUAUAUGUGUGUGUGUGUGUGUACAUUGAAGGACGGCUCAAAAUUAGAACAAGACAAAAUAAUUCAAAGGUAAAUAGUAUACACAAGUUCAUAGCAUCCAUACGUUCAUUUUGAAUCCUCACUGAAGGUUUACUUCUGAUUUUACUUAGGGUUUGAACUUCUGAAACUAAGGUCUAAUUGCUCACAACAUAUUUCCCAUCGGCAUAACCAAAGUAGAUUUCUGACAACCUUCUAAGAUAAGGUCAAGUUAAUUUUAUUUCCUUUCUAGUUAAUAAUUGUUAAAAUUCUGUUGUUGGUUAAUAGAUCUCCUGUUUUUAUUUAUAUUUAAGUGCUUGUUGUGUAAUGUAGGAAUGAGUAUCAAAAGUGUUUUAUUUCCAGAAUGUACUUUUACCUGUUAAACUUUAAUCUUAUUUUUAAUUUUGGUGUAUUUUACCAUGCGCAAUGACCAGGGGCCUGGAGGCAUAGAAAGCCUUGAAAAUGAAUCAUCAUUAUCCUCAUUAUUACUACCUAUAAUAUUACUGAAUUUCUGGAUUAAAAACAAUCCAAACUGUUUUAAAGUAUGAUGCAUUAAUAUCCUGAAAUGCCACUAAGUCAGGAUAGAGAUGUUAGUUUGUUUGUAAAGUGAUGGAAAUUAUCCCCUUUUACAAUAAAAGAAGAAAUAGAGUAGAGGGAAUGUGAAAAUUAAACCAUAGAGAAGUAGGUUAAGCUCUGAGGAUAUGAGGAUUUAUCUGCUGUAACUCAGUAGAAAGACACAAGAAUCAUGAAAUAUUACAGCUACAGAGAACCUAAGGAAUUAUUUAUUCUAACCUCCUCAUUUUGGAGAUGAGCAAAAUUCAGGCCUAGAAUUCCUAUCCAGGUCAUACAGUUAAAUAGUUAAUGGCAGGGCUGGAAUGGUAACCCCAAUUCUUAGGAUCUAGGUUAACACAGCCAAACCCGCUAAUCUGUGAUCUGAGCCCCUACACAAUAACUCUUUCAAGGUCUUAGGUUGAAGAAGAAAUAUUAAGUACUGGAGAUGAGUCUACAGACAAACUUUAAUUAAUAAAAAUCUGAACAAUAUAUAUUACUCACAAUCUGUUUACUUAAUCUGCCAGAUGCUUUAUAAAAGUUGUCUCUAAUCCUGCUACCAUACUCAGCAAUCACUCCACAAAGUAGGAAUCAUUUCCAUUUUAUAAGGAGAGUGCUGAGCUCCAGAAAGAUUAAAGAACAUACAAGAUUGCAAAGCCUGUAAGUGAGUUUGUACUGAUGCCGGACCUAACUGAUUCAAAGUCUGUACUAUCUCCUGCUUGGUGUUUUUAUCUAUUGCAUUUUGUUAUCAUCUUAGCUCAGGUGCUCACAGAGGCCAUUAGUUCUCUAAUAGCCCAAAUGUCUGAAAAACUUGAAAAAAGUUAGGAAGGUAAGGAAGAAAGUUACAUUUAGCAGGUGCCUGCUCUGCAUAAAGCUCUUUACAUUUAAUUCUCACAACAGAGCCUCAAGAUAGAUGUUAUAAUCCUUAGUUUACAAUUUAGGAAACUGAGGCAGAGUGAGAUUAAAUUCCCCCAUGCAUUUCAGUAAAAGCCUGAGGCAGGAUUCAAACUUAGAUCUGUCUGACCUCCAGAGUCCUUCCCAUUAUUCCACCUCCAAAUCUGCUCUUCUCCUGGAUGAGACUUAGUUUUCUAUAGUCUGCACACUUCAGUUUCUUAUCUGGCAAGGUAGAAUUAUAAUACAUGCUCUUUCAUAGACUUCCCAAGAAGAGAGAAUGUUGAGAGUGUGCUUUCAUAAUUAAGUUAAAUCAUCUUAUCUGGAAAUAAAUACCAUGCCCCCUGUAUAUUUCCUUCUUUGAGAAAUGAGGUGGGAAGAUUAGUCAAAUCCAUGACAUCAGUCUUUCAUCUCUGCACCGUCUUGACUCACUGUGUUUCUGUGCUCAGGAUCUCAGUGUAUCACAGAUAGUGGUACCACUGACCUAGACCAUACCUGAAAACACCUUUGAAAAGUGAAAGAAGUAAAAUCAUUGUAUUUAUUAGACCAAUAAGAAGGAAUAAGAUUUACAUUUUCAUUCUUAAGACUAACUUAUUUGAAUGCUUUAUAAGUCUGAUCAGAGAUAGAGGUCAAUGAAGGUGCUCAUCAUACAAAACUGAAAAUGCAAACAUAUUUAUGAAUUGUUAGCAUUGUUUUCUAAUGACCACUGAGGAAUACAUUAGCAGUGAAUGCCUUGAUAAAAGCAGAAGAUAGAGAGAGAGAGAAAGAGAAAGAGGGAGAGGUUAGAAAAACUUGUUGAUGGCAAGUCCGACUGCAAACAUGAUCCUGAGUUUCCUUCGAUGUGUCAACUUUAGCAGCACUGCAUGUAUACACUUCCAUUUCUGAGGAGGUCAUUUUCUAUUAUUGAUACACUUGAACAAUUAUUCUAAAACCAGCUGUCACUGUAGAAUAGCACCAGUACCCAUAACAAAUUUCUGGUAAUUAGAAGCAAUGCCUACCUGUUAUGGUUUUGGAGUUGGUGUUUUUUCCUCUCUACUUCUUGAAUUUGACUUCCAGGUCUUUCUGUGCGAAAGCCCUUAGCAGUCUGUUCAAGUCUUCUAAAAGAACUCAGUGAAAAACAUCUUUCCUGCUUCACAGAAGGGACUUGGUUCUUUGGUUCAGCUUGGCUGUUUGCAAUAUGUUGCUCACAGCCCUAAAUCGUAAAGUGCAUUAAUAUAUCCUUUGAAUUGCUGGAUCUCCACGGGAGGAAAAAAAAAACGUUUUCAAAAAUCGUAUAAUAUUUUGUUUAAACUUCAAUUCUGGUUCAAUGUUUUGUUCUCAAAGGAAUUUUGAAUGAAGAAAAAGCUUUUGUAAGAGGAAGGAAGCUUAUCUAAUCUCUUCAAGACUGAUGAGAAGCAAUCAGGAGACUUGUGACUCUUUGAAACAGUAAAUUUCCAGGGAAUUAGGCACACGUUUCUCAAGAACAAUAAAGAAUGUUACACUUCAGGUGGCAGCCCAUCGGCUCUAAAUGCACCUCUUCAUGUAUCCCAAAUGGCAAUUUGAAAGCCCCAUUCUUUGAGUCAACCGGAAAAGGGAGGAGGCCAUGCUGAACUGACAUCCUUUCAGGAGGUCAUGAGAAAUUGAAUACAGAAUGAAGUCAGUCUUCUGGUUAGUAUCAGAUUCUCAGAGUUAUAAACCUCUUAGGAUAAAAUGUCUUCAAAGAUGUAGGAAAAUAAGUUCGCUCAUGUGAUCCUUACCAGGUAUUAGAAGAUUUAGAUUUUUUACAAAGUCGUUUGCUUGUUUGCAACUGCACUAACUUGACCAUAUGAAAUUUUCUUGACCUUUGCUACAGUUUUACUGAACUGCUCUUUGCUUAUCUUAUUUGAAUAUGGUAGGACUUUAUUCAAUGAUCAAUAAUCAAUAUAUGUCUGACAUAGUUAUCAUUGCCAUUGUUGUUACUGUCAGAGUUUUAUUCUCUUCUCUGGAUUAGGGCUGACAGGAACAGCUGUGGGCCUGGUUACACAUUUAACGAUACAUUUGUCGCAUCCUCUUGUAGCACUGGAAAGUGGAAGCGACUAAGUAGACUGGCUGCUCAGUAAGUUAACUUAAACUCACCUCAUCUGGAGAACUUGUCAGGAAAGUUUUAUUUAUAAGCCCUUUUAGCACAUAGGGCAACAGUAUGAAUGAAAAGCUCCUGUUUUUUAAUAAAAAGACUCAUUAUCAUGCUGUAUAAGACUCUCCGAUUGAUGACAUAAUAGCAUCCACAUUAUCUUUGCAGUGACCACUAGGGCGGAAGCAAGUGUAAUUGAGAGGGAACAGCAUACAGCUGACUGUGCGCAGACUUGAUUCACGUAUUGUCAAACAGAUUUGUCCUGAGAUCAUUUUCCUUAUCAAUUAGGACACUUUUCUUAUUUUACAGACAUUCUGCAAAGAAAUCAAAUGAUAUACAUGAAGUAUUUAGAGUUCCAUGCAAUGAAGAUAGUUCAUAAAUAUCAUGUAUUAGUAUUACAGUGAAAGUAUUAGUAGAAGUGUAAAUCACUUUGAGGUCUCAGGAGUAAGCUGCUUUAUCUGAGGUUUUAGUGGUUAGAAAUUAGUUUGUUUUUUGAGUUGCUAUAUACGGAAGUACAUACUCUGUUGCUGUUAACUACUGUUUAUACACUGGAAACAAUGACUAAGAAUGAAUUGCCAGGGAUAUAUUACUUCUUUUAAAGAUUUGUUUUAAAAGCACUCUUUACUAUAAAUUCUCUGAGCAGUUUGUCUCAAAUUAAAAGAAAAAAUUAACUGUUUGAUCUCCCGUAUUAGACAGUGAAUUUCUUGAGGGAAAGAACCGUGAGUAAUUUACUAAUUUUCUGUCACUAAACCUGGUACGAAACAGCUAUUCAGUAAGUGUUUAUAGAGUAUCCUGUGUAAAAAUUUAGUAAAAUUUUAUUAAAAUUUGUUUUAAAAAAAGGAUACUGAGUUUAUUAAUUUAACUACACGUAUAGCAUGUGAUAUGGACUGAUGUUAUUGAAGAUUAUACAACCAUUAGAAAAAGAAUGAAUGGCAUCUAUCGCUAUUGACCUGGAAGGAUGAUCAGAAUUUACUAAGGGAAAAGAGCAAAUUUUCAGAGUAAUGAAUAUUCAUGAAUAAAUAUGUCGUGUAUGUUGUAUGAACAUGAAAACAGCUAUAGAAAAAUACACACCAUGUUCUUCACGAUGGUCAUCUCACAGGGUUGAGAACAAAAAGGACUCAGGAAAGAUUGCUAAUUUUUUAAAACAUUUUUUAUUGUGUCACUAGUUAUAAAGAACAUCUAUUAUGAAAGUAAGUUUGGAAAAUGAAUAUUUAAAAUUAUUUUUUAAAUUACUGUCUUUUACUUUUUGGAAAAGCAGCCCAAGAAAAAUAAUCACCAUACAGAAGUUUUAAUUUCAUUGUAUUGCCCGAACUUCCAUAACACAGAAUAAAGUACAUGCUUUAAAUAGAUGAUUCAUUUAUUCAAUAGGUAUUUCCUGAGCUCUAUGAUGGCACUAGUUCUUGUGAAAAAGUAUGAUGUGUAUAUAUGUGUGUGUAUAAAGCUGAGCCCUUUCAUGAUGCAGCUUCUUUCAUAGGAUCACAUAUGAAGAAGUUAUAGUUGAGCAAGCAAAAGUUAAAGGUAAUUUGAUUCUUUACUGUAGUCUCUCUGCAUAUAUAACCUACAAAUGCACAAGAAAACUUCUCAAGGAAUUUUUUUUUUUUGCCACCUCUCUCAUCCACAAUGUAUCUCCCCAUUAUUGCUACCCCCAGUAUUUCUCUUACCUUUUCCUCAUGCUCCUCUUCAAGAGAUCUCACUAACCCUCCUUGGCCCAGGUCAAUUAAUUUUUCUGCUCACUUCCAAACUCCUUGCUGGAUCUGUCUUAUUCUUCUCUUUCUGUUGUAAAUCUCACUAGACUUUCUGGCUUAUAUUUCUCUCACUUACUGAGAAAAAAAAAAAUCUAUGCAAGAUAAGGUUUCAGGACUAUAUUCCCAACAGAAAAUUCACAGGAGUUUAAAUAAUCAAAGGGGCAGACCCAGAAGCCUUAGUUUAAAAACAAGCAUCAAAGUUCCCCUUUAGAAUGUACUUGAAUAGACUUGAGCCAAUGAGACGGGCGGAACAUCUGAAUUGGAAUCAGGCAAGAGAGGACUGUACAGUCUGAAGUACUAUAUUUCUGACUCAGUACAUUCUAGAUCCCACCACAGGGUAGUCCUGACAAUGACCUGACCUUUAUAGAUAGAAGACAGAGGCACCCGGAGCUAAAUUUACAACACGGGAAAGAUGUGGGAUGAUGACCACAAGUAAUGAUAAAUAGAUACACUUUACUUCAUGUCAUAGGCAGUUUGAUAGAGGCUGUAAGAAAAAGGAGGGAGACAGAAGGAUGGAGGGAGGAGAAGAGAGAAGGAUGGAAGGAGGGGGAGGAGAGAAAGACAGACAGACAGACAGACCGACGAUCCCUCUCAAAUAAAAAAGCAGAAGGGGUGGAAGAGUGGAAGAAGGUGGUUGGUUAGGGGAUUAGGAAGCAGGAAGAAAAAAACAAAAUGUAUUUUGACACCCAGCCCUUUCUUUACAUCUGCACAAGUGUUCCCUGGUCCCUUAUGGGCCCUACCCUGGGUGGGCUGGGUCUGCUUGGCACUCCCAGCUGGCCAGCUGUCCUCUCCAUUUAGAGACUGCUUACUCAUAGUGAACCAUUUACAGUUGUGGGGAAGUCUCUUCAGAAUAUGCUAACAAUUAUGUUUGUUGUUCUUAACUCCAGGGGGCUGAGGAAGUCAAUAAGCAGCUGAUCACGGCAAGUUUACCCAAAGAUAUAGGUCGCCUACUCUGUCGUACAUCUUCAGCUUAGGGGAUUUAUGCAGAAAAGAACAUGAAUUCUUGUUUAUGUUAUAUGACUCCUAACCUGGGCCCCAGCAGUCUGAUGAGAACAGUAACUCUAGCUAGAAAGAUAUCUAAAAUGGAGAUGUGGGUAGAAAAACAAAUAAUGUUUAUAAAGAGAUUUUAAUGAGAUAAGAAAAUGCUUAUAUAAUGUUAAGAAAAAAAGCAAGAUGCAAAACAUGUAAAAUAUUAAAUGUUCUUUUCUAGGUGGUUAUUGUGCAUUUCUGUUCCGUUCUUUUCAUUUUCCAAAAUGUCAGGAAAGAGAAAGGAAAAGGGCUCUUGGGAUAUCCUUCCUUUUUUGUUUUUUUGUUUGUUUGUUUUUGAUCAAUGGAUUAAUUUUAAUGGUGGCAUCUCUUAUAAGAAAGAGAUUUCACCUCAAGUUUGAGUGAUAUGAUAUUCUUUGCUGAGAAUUUUUGUUCUUUGUAGACUGCUAGUAUGGUGUCAUGUUCUGGUAAUUUUUAAUGCUCAAUGCCCUUCAGCUCUGGUGGAGUGAUUGGGAGAAGAAGGUUAUGAGGUAGAUGGUUUAUUAUCUAAUUACUGAUGAUGGAUUAGUAUAGCUCAAACAGAACUUUUGUCACUUCAAGUAUGAAUAGCCAAGAGAAGCAAGGUAGGUCAAUGGAUAUAUUCAAACCAUGCGUUUGUAUAUAAGAAAAAUGUUUACUUAGAUGAUGAAUUACUUCACAUUCCACUUAUAAAGCUCAGUUAGCACAAACAUUUAAAUGGAACAAAAACUACAUUGGCUUAAGAAACUGGAUAUUUCCAAAACUCAGUAAUCUCCUGUUCCUCUAAAUGUUUACCUAUCUACCUUAUUCUCACCUUAUGACUUCUCAGAACAUUUUCAUGGCUUAUGUUCUAGUUUAGGUCCUGCAGCUCUUCAGAAUCCAGACAUAAUUGUCCUUACAACUGACGUCUCUUCUGCUUUUAACUAAAAGCCUACUUAAUUUCUCCCAGCCUGAGUGGUUCUUCCGCCAUUUACAAUUCUCAGUGUCUCUUCCCCUCAUCUCUUUGUGCUCCAGGUCCUAACUGCCUGUUACAGUUACUUUCACUUGCUUGCUCUUAGCUCCCCCUGACUCAGGAUCUCUUUCUCUAGCUCAGAGGUUCCGAAUCCUGGCUGCACAUUAGAAUCACCUUUAAAGUUUUAAAAAAAUGCCAAUGCAUUUGGCCCACCCUAAAUAUUCUCUUUUAAGCGGUCAGGGGUGGAGUUUAGCUGCAUGCUAGACUCUUACAGGAACCAAACUCUUCCUUCAUCUCAAAAUUUUUAAUUCAGUUAAGUUUAACAAGCUGCUUCACACUGGGAAACUAUUUUUCUGGAUAAAGACUACUUUCCUAGCCAGACAAGAAUAAAGCUUUAACAUUAUGCAUAAUCCAGCUCCACCUAUGUAUCAUCACACAGACAUGCAUGUGACACACACAAACACACACUAAGUUAAUGACCAAAGAUGAACAACUAUUUAAUAAACAUAGAAUUGCUAUUACCAUAGUAAUUAAUUAGAAACUAAGGAUAGCUGACCAAGUUUUAAAAGUCCUCUUUAAACUUGACUAUUGUAAAUAAGAUGUCCUGCCUUGCUAAAGGGUAUCAGAAUAUGCCUUGAGUCUGAUUUGUGGGGGGAAGAAAUGGUGGCUGACAACAAUGUCAAAAGGAUGUACAAUUGGUAGUCAAAAGGUGGAAACAAUUGAUGGGUGAAUGGAUAGACAAAAUCUAUAUACAUACAAUGGAAUAUUAUUCAGCCUUAAAAAGGAAAGAAAUUCUGACACAUGCUACAACAUGGAUGAACCUUGAAAAUAUUAUGCUAAGUGAAAUAAACUAAACACAAAAGGACAAAUAUCGUUUGAUUCCAUUUCUAUGAAGUGCCUGGAAUAGUCAAAUUCAUAGAGACAGAAAGUAGACUAGAGGUUGCCCGGGGCUUGGAGGAGGGGAGAGUGGGGAGUUAUUGGUUAAUGGGUACAGAGUUUCAGUUUGGGAAGAUUAAAAAGUUCUAGAGAUGGAUGGUGGUGAUGGUUGCAAAACAAUGUGGAUGUAUUUAAUGUCACUGACUGUACACUUAAAAAUGCUUAAAAUGGUAAAUUUUAUGUUAUGUAUAUUUUACCACAAAAAAAGGGAAUGUACAUUUGAAAACUUUCAAGGCAUUUCAGUGAAAAUGGAUUGCAGUUCCAGAGUUCAGAGGCACAACUGAACUGAGUAAUCUAUUCACAGAAUCAUUAAGGCUUGAUGAAAUGCAAUAAUUUAUUAGUUUAAGUAAUAGGCUUUACUUUGCUGUUGAGGUCCGUCAUGCUUAUGAAAUUUAAGCACUGGUAUUAUCCUUGAUCCACAAGCAGUAAUGGAUUGUAAUAAACUACAGAGAGCAAUUUUUAAAUAAACAGGAUUAUUGUUAAGUGCUUAUAGCUAUAUUAGAAUCCUUGUUUUGGUCAGCUGCUAGCAGAGGCAGAACUGCACAUUUCUCUUUCACCAAGAAUACUAUCUUUUACCAAAUUAUCUUCUUGGUAAGAGAAGCCAUGGCCUUGAAUGAGUCCAUACUUCUCAAUAAUUCAAUAUGUAAGCUAGUUGCUUCCUUUUUUUUUUUUCCUGAAAAUGUUUAACAUUUUUAUUGACAUUUAUAAAUUUCUUGGUUUAUAGUUCUAUAAAUUUUAACAUGAAUAGAUUUGUGUAACAGCCACUGUCACUCUCCAAACACAGAGUGGUUCCAUCACCCCAAAGAACUCCUUUUUGCUAUCCCUUUAUCCCUCCCCCCCCCCCCACCAACCCCUAGCAACCACUGAUCUCUUCUUUAUCACUAUAGUUUUGUCUUUUUGAGAACUGUCAUUUAAAUGGACUCAUAUAUUACAUAAUCUUUUGAGGCUGACUUCUUUCAUCCAGCAUUAUGUAUUUAAGGCUCAUCCAUGUUGUUGCACGUAUCAGUGGUUUGUUUCUUUUUAUUGCUGAAUAGUAUUCCUUUGUAUGGAUGUACCACAGGCUGUUUAUCCGUUCACCCAUUGGAAGACAUGUAGAUUUUUUUUUUCCAGUUUGAGGCAAUUAUGAAUAGAACUGCUAUAAGCAUUUGGGCACGGGAAUUUGUGUGAAUGUAAGUUUUUAUUCUCUAGGAUAAAGACCCAGGAGUCAGAUUGCUAGGUCAGAUGCUAUAUGUAUGUUUAAUUUUAUAAGAAGCUGCCAAACUGUUUUGCUGAGAAACUAUACCAUUUUGCAUGCCCAACAGAAAUGUAUAAGAGUUCCAGUUGCUCCAGAUCCUUGUCAACAUUUGCUAUUAUUAAUAUUUUUUAUUUUAGUCCUUGUAAUAGGUGUGUAGUGGAAACACUUUUUCUCUUUCAACUACAUUUUUUAAAGCUAUUUAAUAUUUAUUUAAGAAGCUACAUUUAUUUAAUAAACUAUUAUUUAAUAAACUACAUUUAUUAAAGCUGUUUUUUAAAGCUAGACAAUAAUGUGAUUCUGAGACCAUCUUUCCUGGUUCCUAUUUUUAGAUAUAUUCUAUUUCUG